AGAUAUUUAUAUUAUUAAUAGGAAAGUCAUAAAUAUAUAAAUUAUAUUAUAUAAUUAAUAUAAUAAUAAAAUAAAUUAUAUAUUUUAUUUAUAAUAUUAUUUCUUUAUAAGAUAAAUAUUAUCUAAUUAAUAAUUAGAUUGAAUAAUAUUUAUAAAGAAAUAUAUAUAAAAAAUCAUUAUAUAAAUUUAAUUAUAAUUUAAAUAAAUUUUAUAUAAAUUAAUAUAAUAUUAAUAAAGUAAUUAGUAUAAAUAAAUAAUAUGAAAAUAAAACUUAAUAAAUAUAUAAAUAUAGUCCGGCCCGCCCCGCGGGGCGGACCCCGCAGGAGUGAGGGACCCCUCCCUAUACUAAUGGGAGGGGGACCGAACCCCUUUUAAAGAAGGAGUCCAUAUAUAUAUAUUAAUAAAAAGUAAUAUAUAUAUAUAUAUUGGAAUAGUUAUAUUAUUAUACAGAAAUAUGCUUAAUUAUAAUAUAAUAUCCA
This 479-nucleotide non-coding RNA is filed under the name Saccharomyces cerevisiae YJM1208. RNAcentral also lists the same sequence under 1 other name. Lineage: Eukaryota; Fungi; Ascomycota; Saccharomycetes; Saccharomycetales; Saccharomycetaceae. The record is from RNAcentral.